RNAcentral lists this ribosomal RNA (460 nucleotides) under uncultured bacterium. RNAcentral describes it as "partial 16S ribosomal RNA". It matches the Rfam family "Bacterial small subunit ribosomal RNA", at positions 338 to 795 of the family's 1533-position model. The record is from RNAcentral.
CCUACGGGUGGCAGCAGUGAGGAAUAUUGGUCAAUGGACGAGAGUCUGAACCAGCCAAGUAGCGUGAAGGAUGACUGCCCUAUGGGUUGUAAACUUCUUUUAUAUGGGAAUAAAACGUUCCACGUGUGGGAUUUUGUAUGUACCAUAUGAAUAAGGAUCGGCUAACUCCGUGCCAGCAGCCGCGGUAAUACGGAGGAUCCGAGCGUUAUCCGGAUUUAUUGGGUUUAAAGGGAGCGUAGGUGGAUUGUUAAGUCAGUUGUGAAAGUUUGCGGCUCAACCGUAAAAUUGCAGUUGAAACUGGCAGUCUUGAGUAGAGUAGAGGUGGGCGGAAUUCGUGGUGUAGCGGUGAAAUGCUUAGAUAUCACGAAGAACUCCGAUUGCGAAGGCAGUUCACUGGACUGCAACUGACACUGAGGCUCGAAAGUGUGGGUAUCAAACAGGAUUAGAUACCCUUGUAGUC